AAAAUGUUUCAGCAACUAUUGUUGUAAACCAUCCAAUGAACAGUUAAGGGAGGAUACUAACUUAAAAGAUAUGGAGGAGAAUGAGUUAGAACAAAUCUGUGCUUGUGAUCUUUGUGAUUACAAAGCCAAUCACGGAAAUGCGCUUAACAAACAUAAAAUGGUUGUACAUAAGGUGGUUAAAGAAUAUAUUUGUGACUUAUGCAACUUCAGAAGUGGUCACCCAUCAGCCUUAAAGAGACAUAAAGAGAACCUUCAUGAUAAAACUAAUCAAAUUACUUAUCAUUGUGAUAUAUGUGAAUAUAAGACCAACUAUAAACAUGCUUUAAAGAGACACACCGCCAACAAGCACAACAAAGAUUCUCUAGUCAGCUACAAAUGUUCUUUCUGUGAUUAUGUUUCAACUUAUGACUUUAUUAUGGAGCGCCAUAUUACCACAAUGCAUAUAAAGGAGGGUGAACAUAGUUGUACCAAAUGUGAUUAUACCACUGUACAUAAACAAUCUUUAGACCGUCAUGUACGUAUUGUACAUGAAAGACCAAUGCGAUAUUCCUGCGGUGAAUGUGAUUUUAAAUCUGGGCACUCCUCAGCACUCCGCAUGCACACUGCGACAAUACACCAGUCCAGGAAAGCGUUUCACUGUGAUAUCUGUGGGUUUGAGACUCUCUACAAGACUGCACUGAUGAGACACAGUAAAACUGUGAACUGUAGUGGGAAAUAUAAAGGUGUAGGAGCUGGAAACCUACUGAAGCAGGAGAAUGAAGAGAAGAAGGAAAAAGGAAUCUCUCAAGAUAUAAUUCAUAUAGAUCCGUCAAGUGUGUCUAGUGCUGACUACAGUCGAGUUGAAAUCUCCAAACAGCUGAUUGACCCACUCGCCGGUACACACGCAUACUCUGUAGUUUUAAACAAGGAUUUUGUUCUUCAAGCACCCUCGCACGAGACUUUACCCACAAAACCUCUUGUUAUUAACACUUCCUCGGUCAAUUUUCCUAAAUCAGAGGAUGGGUUCAGUACAUCCCUUGUUUUCAACACUAAUCCAGCAUUAAGCAGUAUUACACUCAUAGAAAAGGAUGGAUUAUUGUAUCAAGUAACAGAUAAAUAUCGGUCUGGAGAUAUUAUUCAAGUUGCUGUUUCAUCUCAAGAAGAUAUUCUGAGGAUUGGAUCAGGGUAGAUACUUGUAACACCUACCGACACAAGAAUAUACUUGAUACCUACCGACACCAGCAGAUACCAGAGAAAAGUAUAUACUAGAUACCUACUGACACCAGCAGAUACCAGAGACAAUUGCCGACACUAUCAGAUACUAGAGUCACCAACCGACACCAGCAAAUACUGGAGUCACCAACCGACACUAUCAGAUACUAGAGUCACUAACCGACACCAACAAAUACUUGAGUCACCUACUUACACAAGUAAAUACAGAGACACCAACCGACACCAGCAGAUACUGGAGUCACCAACCGACACCAGCAGAUACUGGAGUCACAAACCGACACCAGCAGAUACUAGAGUCACCAACAGAAACCAGCAGAUACUGGAGUCACCAACCGACACCAGCAGAUACUGGAGUCACAAACCGACACCAGCAGAUACUAGAGUCACCAACAGAAACCAGCAGAUACUGGAGUUACCAACCGACACCAGCAGAUACUGGAUUCACAAACCGACAACAGCAGAUACUAGAGAAAAUUUCCGACACUAUCUGAUAGUACAGUCACCAACCACACUAGCAGAUAAUGGAGUCACAAACCGACACCAGCAGAUACUAGUCACCAACCGACACCAGCAAAUACUUUAGUCACCUACUUACACAAGUAAAUACUAGAGACACCUACCGACACCAGCAGAUACUUGAGUCACCUACUUACACAAGAAAAUACUAGAGACACCUACCGACACCAGCAGAUACUAGAGACACCUACUGACACCAGCAGAUACUAGAGACACUUAUCGACAACAACAGAUACUGGAGUCACAAACGGACACCAGUAAAUACUAGAGUCACCAACCGACACCAGCAAAUACUUGAGUCACCUACUUACACUAGUAAAUACUAGAGACACCUCCCGACACUAGCAGAUACUAUAGACACUUAUCGACACCAGCAGAUACUAGAGACACUUAUCUACAACAACAGAUAAUACUGGAGUCAAAAACCGACACCAGCAAAUACAAGAGUCACCAACUGACACCAGCAAAUACUUGAGUCACCUACUUACACAAGUAAAUACUAGAGACACCAGAAGAUACUAAUACUAGAGACACUUACCGACACCAGCAGAUACUAGAGACACCUACCGACAACAGCAGAUACAGAGACACCUACUUACACAAGAAGAUACAGAGACAUCUACCGACACCAGCAGAUACUAGAGACACCUACCGACACCAGCAGUUACUAGAGACAUCUACCAACACAAGGAAAAAAGAGAGAUACCUACCGAUACCAGCAUAUAUUAGAGACAUCUGUCGACAAAAUCAGAAUAUAGAAACAGUUACCGACCGACACCAUCAGAUUUUAGAGACACCUAUCGACACCAGCAGAUACUAGACACCUAACAACAACAACAGAUACUAGAGACAUAUAUCGACACCAGCAUAUACCAGAGACACUUUAUAACACCAGCAUAUAUCAGAGACAUCUAACCGACAAUAUUAUGAUGAGUAUUCUUUGAUAUAUUAAUGCAAAUUAAUCAUACAGUAGAACCCAUUAAACAGUGGAACAGUAUGAAGAAUGGUAACUAAGUUAUGAUUUUUAAUAGUCCAAUGAACAUUUCAAGUGUACACACUACACACUACACAGACCUUGUUUACUUAAGUGUAUUUUCUCGAUACUGAUCCGGAUCCAAGGGGCAAAAUAUCAACAAAAAUCUGCAAAAAAAACCAAAUAUGAACUAUUGAAAAAAGAGAGAUUAUAAAUAAAGCUAUGUAUUUAACAAUAUCUUAGUUUACGUAACUAUAUCUGAAAUAUUUGUCAGUGUAAUAUUUGAAUAUUAGAUUUGAUGCUAAAUUGUGGAAUGAAAACUGUUAAAUAUAUACUAAAUAUUAAAAA
This is an RNA transcript of Eurytemora carolleeae, 3049 nucleotides long. It is a transcript of the gene named zinc finger Y-chromosomal protein, with no coding region annotated. The transcript is spliced from 8 exons. The record is from RefSeq and is a predicted model, not a curated record. NCBI's taxonomy places the organism in Eukaryota, Metazoa, Arthropoda, Copepoda, Calanoida, Temoridae.